UUAAGUUCAGCGGGUAAUCCUGCCUGAUUUGAGAUCUAAUCUAAAGGUAGACUUUUCAAUUAGAAGCUUCCUUAACUAAGUUGGCUCAAUGCAGAACAUUGAAUCCUUAGCGAAUAGUCUAUUACGCCAAGUCAAUCCAAACUUGUAUUAGGGAUGCUGAUGUAUUACGAACGAGCUAGGCACGAAGCCAGCAGCGCUCAGAAUCCAAACACCAGCUGUUUACAAGAAACAGUUGGGUUGAAGAAUUCAUGACACUCAAACAGACAUGCUCUCCGGAAUACCAGAGAGCGCAAGAUGCGUUCAAAGAUUCGAUGAUUCACUGAAUUCUGCAAUUCACAUUACGUAUCGCAUUUCGCUGCGUUCUUCAUCGAUGCGAGAGCCAAGAGAUCCGUUGUUGAAAGUUUUUAUUGUUAUAAAAAUUUUACAUUCAUAGACUAGUGUUUAUAAAGUGAAAUGGCUCACAAUUCGAAAAUUGCUCGCCAUUAAAUACAGAUGCACAGGGUUAGAUGUGAGAAGGUCGGGUUCCAAGUUAAAUUGGACACCCUAUUUAUUCACUAAUGAUCCUUCCGCAGGUUCACCUACGGAAACCUUGUUGCGACUU
RNAcentral lists this unclassified non-coding RNA (601 nucleotides) under uncultured Sporobolomyces. Its description in RNAcentral is "sequence contains 18S rRNA gene, ITS1, 5.8S rRNA gene, ITS2 and 28S rRNA gene". The record is from RNAcentral. Lineage: Eukaryota; Fungi; Basidiomycota.